Molecule: long non-coding RNA, 11285 nt
Filed under: Eucalyptus grandis
Lineage: Eukaryota; Viridiplantae; Streptophyta; Magnoliopsida; Myrtales; Myrtaceae
Description: long non-coding RNA (EGRA_LNC004135)
Source: RNAcentral
UUGAGACUUCAAAACCCCACCCCAGGAAACGAUGCACACACUGGCUAAUAUCCAUUUUUAACUUAUUUCUUGAAACAUGACAUGUCGCACUUCAGAGUUCUCGGCUGCGUGCUUUUUAAGUGGCUUCUUUGUGAUUUUAUCUUUUUCACUUGCAGGUCAGAAUAUCGUCGGGUGCAGCUGCUGCAGCUGCAAUUAAUAUUGCAAAGAGGCCAGAAAAUUCUGGAAAGCUCAUUGUGGUGAGUAAAGUCCAAUUGCCCGCCAUCUUUCCUACGCAGCCAGUUUUCUUCUUUUUUUUUUUUUUUGUGGAUACACGGUCAGUUUUUUUUUUUAUAUCUAAUAUACAUGGCCAGUUUAAUCAUAAUAAAAUUCUACAUGAACAAAGCGGUUUUAUUCUUGAAGGUGUCAGCGUUGAACAUUUGACAUAUUUAUUAAUGAAAAAAACAACUAAAUGCAAAAAUAUCCACGGACUUCCACGAGGGGUGAUCGGUUCCCGGUUUGGUCCGGUUCCACCCAAGAACCGGGAACCAGACCGGGAAGACCGGUUCCCACUUUUCUGGACUGUGGACCGGACCGGCUAUCUUUGAACCGAGAACUGGACCGGACCAAUCGGUCGGGUCCAGUCCGAUCGGUUCCAAUGACCCAUUACUUGUUUUCAUUUCAUUUAACAAAAAAAUAAAUAGUAAUUACUAGUAAAGUAAUGCACGAGAUUAUGAUUUGGUGAAGUUUUUUUAUUCACUUUGUGACCAACAAAGUGACGCCCUAUUAAAUUAAAAACGUCAACUUUAUGUAAACAAAAAUUAAAAUCUUGCAUCAUACCCUAUGUCCUUGCACUGUUAUGAAACAAAAAAAUAAGCUAAAAAAUCUACACAAAUUUGAAAUAUCAUAAAAGUUUUUCUUUCAAAACAUAUUUCACACACUCACCUUCAUUCUCAUGAACAUAAAUGCUAUUAGAGAUGCAAAAAAUAAAAGAAAAAUAGAAUUCGAACUUAACAAAAAUUCAACACAUAGUUUGGCCGUUGUUCAAUACCAUUUAUUAGUGGUCAUAACUAAUCUAGAACAAACCCUCCAUGGAAUAAAAAACAAAAUCAAAUUUCAAAAUUAGGACAAGAGAUUCAACAUUAAACUACCAAACUCCAUACAUCUCGCCGAAUCACUCAAUGUUGCAUGGCCCGAGGGGAAUGGAUUCUUUGCUCAAGCAAGCAAAAUGAAAAUAUGAUCAAAUCCGAGAGUCUAAAAUUUGCUAAUAGUCAUGCAAUAAGUAUAUAUGAUAACUCAACAUUAGUUUUAAAGUAUAAUUACUUUUAAUUGAACUCAAAUAAUUAAUGUAAAAUCUCACCACAUAUAUUUCUUUCACUUAAACUUGCAAACUCUAUUUACCAGUAAGCUCCGAAUGAACUUCAUUCAUAUCUAACAAAACAAAAUAUUAAAUAGAGCAUUCACUGAUUAGAUAUACAAAAGAAUUACAAGAUAGAAAGAUACAUUGAUGACUUACCCCAUUCAAAUCUUUCCGCAUUUUCAAUGUACUCUUCAACAUUAAUUGUCAUUGUAGCUUUUCUUAACCAAUCUUGAGUGCAAAUCAAAGCUUCCACUACUAUAUGAGUUAAAGAACUUCGAAAGCUAUCAAGCACACGACUGGAUGUACUGAAAGUCGACUCCGAAGCAACAAUUGUUACAGGAAUAGAUAAAAUAUCUCGAGCCAUUAAAGAAAUGAUUUCAAACUUUUGGCCAGUAGUUUUCCACCACAUCAAUAGGUCAAGAUCACGACUUUCUUCACAUUCGGCUUUAAGAUACUUAUCGAGCUCAGAUAGCUUACUUGCUGACACUUUUUUCUCCUCGCGAAGAAAGAUAUCAAAUGCCUUGUCUAAAUUGAAAUCCUCAACCAAAUCAAGAUAAUCAUUCUUACCCUCAUGGUUAUCAGGAUCCCAACUACUAUCAAUAUUAAUACCAAAAUUUCUAUCACAAGAAUUAAGAUGAGAUUUUUCAUAAAAAUGAAACAAUCUUUCUAGGGCAAUUCUCGCCUUGUCAUACAUUUCAUCAACUUUCACACUAUCAUCAUAGAUUAAUCUAUAACAAUACCGCACAUAGCUCAUCUUUAUUAUUGGAUCCAAUAUCACCGCAAUUAAUACCAUCAUAUUCACUUUUUCAAAACUCCCAUAGUAUUUGUCAAACUUCUCCUUCAUCUUUGCACCCAUAACUUUCAAACUAAGAUCCGAAGCCUUCUCCGCUUGUUUCAAAGUUUUAUAUAAAGUUGCUAUCUCAUUGAAAUAAUCAUUCGCAGUGAUGUAUAGAGUCCCAGACAUCUUGUUGGCGGCAUCAUAAAACUUAUUUAAAAAUACUAAAAGAAUUCUGGCAUAUUCCCAAUCUUCAUGUGUAGGAGUGUCAUAGUCAAGCUCACUCAAGAAAGAUCAUCUUCUUCUAUCAUUUCAAAAGCUUUUCUAAAUUUUAAAACAGUAUCCAACAUGAGAUAAGUAGAGUUCCACCUAAUUAUGACAUCAAGACAAACCGAAUCCUUAUAAGUGAUCCUUGCACUUUAAAUGCAACCUUGAAAUGUUUUAGCUCUCAUGGGAGAACUUCUCACAUACUUAACCACGUUUCAAAUAUGUAUAAUAGAAUCACAUACCUCAGUCAAUCCAUUAUUCACAAUCAAGUUUAAAAUAUGAGCCGUGCACCUCAUAUAUAAAACAUCACCUUCCAAGAUCAAUAGCCUAUCUCUUAAUAAUUUUUCUUUUAAAAAACCAAUGGCAAUAUCAUUAGAACUAUCAUUAUCCACAGUGAUUGUGGAUACAUUUUUCUCUAUUCCCCACUCAUAGAUGCAUUUCUCAAUCACCAUAAAAUUGAUUAUUUGUUUGUGCAAUUUAUAGUUGUCAUCAAUAAAAUGUGUGGUGAGACAAAUAAUUCAAAUUAUGGAUGGAAAUCCAUGUAUCAGUUGUGAGUAUAAUCCUAGACUUAAGCUUGCUAAAGAAAGUCUUCAAAUUUUUUUUCUUACAAAGAUAUAACUUCAUGCAAUCUCUAGCCACUAUAAAUCGUAAGAUGUGAUGAAAGAGAGGUUGUAUCUGAUCAAUAAAAUCUCGGAAUCUAACAUGCUCAACCAUCGAAAAAGGUAGUUCAUCCGUUAUGAUCAUUCGAACAAGCAUUUGUCUAUAACGAUUUUGAUUGAAUUCCAAUGUUGAUAAGAUAGUUGCACUACCAUCAAUACUAGUAUGCUUCAUUGUUAUCCCUUGUGCUUUACGUGAGGUGAAAUUUUUUUGCUUCUUAUCUAUGUUGCGAUUAUGCUUAUUGCACUUUUUCAAGUGCUUCAAUAUAGCGGAAGUACCAUUAUCAACAUAGUACGUAUACUUGGCCCCACAAGAAUUGCAAAUCACUAUAGUUUUCUCCUUCUCAGUUUUGCCCUUACGAAAAUGAGGCCAGACUGUUGAUGCUCGUUUACCAGAACUAGGAAGACAAGCAUUAGAUACCUUGUUUGUGUUGGAUGCCACUUCGAAGUUUUCAAUUUCUUUACCUUUUAUGUUCUAGUGAGUCCAUCAUAGGAUUCACAUCAUUAUUUAAUUGAUCCACUUCCAUUGACAUAUAAAUAGAUCGGCUGAAUCAAACAAAAUAUUAUAAUGAGCCAUCAAACCAUCAUAUUCAUUUAUAUCAAUAGGGAUACUAAAGAUAUGAUUGCAGCCUUACUUCUUAAUGCCAUGUCCAUAUUUAUCAUAUAACUAUACCUACAAAAAUAGAUACUAAAAAAUUAAGCAAAUAUUAAGUCGCAACUUGAGCAAGAGUAGAUUUCCAGCAGCCAAAGUGAUACUUUUUCUUCCAAAAAUGGAGGAAGGAACAAGAUCAAAACCAAGGUCAAUAUAUGUUAGGCCAAGCCAACAAAAUGGAUAUCAAUAUCUACUCCACGUGUGGAGAGAGAAUGGGGCACAGUCUUAUGCUGAAUAAAAAUUAACAAAAUCAAGUUUGGAACAGAUAAAAUUCAUGGCAAGCGGACACCAACAAGCACACUCAUUCAUUCACAACUCAUAAGGCAAUAUAGCUGCUCUUCGAUCAACACUAGCCGGACAAGCAUUGGCGAAAUGAUAGUUCUCCUCAUCAUCGAGCGAAAGCAAAUUGGGGGACACUAGAUCGAGUGCAUGAACUUGAAAACGACUAUGCACCAGCAAUACUCACGCACAGAGCAACCCCAUUCGAUUCAGUAGACAAGCUAAUCAAGAAUUCCAGCACUCAACUAUGACUACCCCUACUGGAGUCUACACAUCCUUUCACUCUACUCAUUAGCAAUGACACUCCAGAUUCAUCACAAACAAGACACGCCAGACAAUCACGUGCUACAAAGAAUCAAAAGAAAGGCGAGAUCUUCCAAAGAAAGAACAUUUUGUCUUUUCACUACAACAGAUGGAAAAAUAGAAAUGGGUCAUGUUCAAAGACCACAAAGAAAGAACAUUUCGCCUUAUUCACUACAAAAUAUAAAAAACAGGAAUGGGUCAUGUUUAGAGACUAGCUGAACAACCACGUAACAUCCAACCAAAAGCACAAACAAAUGCACUCUUUAUUACUUGCAAAAGUUCUAGAACAGGAGACAUCAUUCAAUUACAUUAAGGGGUGAUCGGGUUCAGAGUGGGUAGGUUCCAAACCUAGACUCUGUACUCGACCCUAUUAUAAUCGGUUUCCCUUUUUUGGACCCUAUACCCGACCUUGUUUGUAUUGGACCAUGUAUCCAACCUACCCUGUUUUUCCGGUCCAGUUCCAAGGUUAACCCUGUAUAUAUUGAAACCUAUUUUACAACCGCCAAUCUAUACGACUUCGAAUUUUAUUUUAAUACGUGAGAAAACAACAAAAUUUUCUAAUUUAUAUUGAAAUAUUAAGCAUAAUUAAUAAGUAAAUUUCUACCUCAUUUCGUAUGUAUUAACCAAAUUGAUUUACCCAAGAUUAGGUCGCGAUAGUUUAGCUAUUCCAUUGGGUUUUUUUUUGGGAUCACUCGACAAGGGGCCUUCUUCGUUCCUUGGAAAAAAGAAACACAAAAAAAAGGGGAGGAAAAGCUUGAGAGUCAAGGUCAAUGUCAGGAGGCAGAGGAGACGUGGGCAGUGUAGAGAGGGACGUGUGAGAGACGUGACAAGCCAGUAGGGAGAACAGAAAAAAAAAAGAAAAAGAAAAAAGAAGAAACAUAAUAGUGCACUGUUGAUCUUCUUCAUGGGCUCCCUCUGCACGCCAUAGCCGCCGACUGUUGUGCCUGCGUCGCCGCGGCUGCACCACCGCGCCACCGCCAAAGCCCCCUCACUCGCAAGCUCGCACCGCCACUCAUUGCCCCUGCUAUGGCCGUGACGACCCGACACCUAUGACCGCCCGAAGCUCCACCGCCGUCGCCCUUGGCCCCGUGAAGCCACCAUUGCACCAGCAACGCUGCUUGGCUCCUCGCAACACCAGCAACCAGUGAAGUCGCAAGGUCAACAAGAAGGUGUACAAUCCGGUUCCCAAACCGGUCCGAUCGAUCCGGUUCCUAGGUGGGUAAUCCUUCGGAACUGGUUCCCAGACCGGUUCAAACCAGUUUUGACUUUUGGGAACUGGUUCCCGGAUCGAUUUCAACAGGAAUUGGUUCUCGACCCUGUUUUCCAGGUGGGCCGAUUUAGGAACCGGGUUUAUCCAGUCCAGUUGCACACCCCUAAUUACAUCCAACAAAACCCGCUAAGCUUGUAAAAUCUUAACGAUGGGAUUCUAAAAUCGUACAUCAUAAUCCUAAAAUAGAAAAAGGGACUCAACAAAACAUCAUAAUCAACGAAAAAACAAACAGAUAAAGAAGAAACAUUGAUCCAAAGCAUAAAUUAUGUCCCUCUCUUCUUCGAAUCAGCUCGACAAAAUCCAGUGGUUCAGCAGCUCGCUCAAGCAUCGACAAUGGAAGAUAUAGGUCACGGCGGCACCUAAUAUAGCAACACCAUCCACGAAACACGACCAACACAAAUAAUAGAGUUACACUAACCCAUCUUCCAUCAAGACAUGAAGAAUUAAAUCUCAACAGAGAGCCAAGAGAUUGAAAUCCCCUAAUGAAGCGCGCUCUUACCCACACCAAAAUGCGCGGAGGAGAUGAAAUCCAACCACCCACCACCCCCCUCCCCCAAAUGCGACAUCAAUACAGCACAAUCGCAUGUCGGAAACAAACGAAGAUGGGACUACAGAGUAUAAAUGAUCAAACAACGAAGCCGCGCGGCAAUGAAAACAUAGCAAAAGAGCUGAUCGAGGAUGGACUCGGGACUCACCUCAAAGAACGAGAGACCCUUGGGAAUCGCCGGGGCAGCGAUGAGACGGGAGAGAGCGAAGAGAUGAUGACGUUGUGGGGAGGAAGGGUUUGGGAAAAUGAAAGUUGAAUCGAAUUACCGCCAAGUUGGAUCACAAAAAUUGGGAAAAUAGAAGUUGAUGUGAUGGUUAAUGUAUAUUAAAGCAAAAACUAACAAAAAAAAAAUAGAGGGGUUUAGCUGUUCGUUUAGGUUUCAAGAGGGAAAGACAAGUGAGAAGAAUUGCAAAAAUUUGGAAAAUAAAAGCUUAUGUGAAUGUUACUGUUGAGUGCAGUUCAGAAGCAAACGAGGGGAGGGAUUAUUAGCUUUGAGUUAUGAGAGAAGAAAUGAAUAUGAUGGUAAAGGGUACUAUAAAUUAUUUCAGAAAUUAAAAAAUAUAUAUAAAUGGUCAGUUCGGUUUGGUCCGGUUCGGUCCGGUUCCGACCUCGAAACCGGUAACCGGAUCAACCGGUCACCGGUUCCAAAAAUAGGAACCUGAGACCGGACCAAGACCCUCUAGGACCACUCGAAACCGACUAAUCCGGUCCGGUCGGUUCCUGGUUCGGGCAGUUUCCGUUGCACACCCCUAGGCUCCAUAGAAAUUCAAACCCCCUAAACAAAAGAAAAAGAAAAAGAAAUACGAAUCUUUCACGCAAAUAACUUGGAAAUCUGAGCCAAUGAAAUGACACACAUAAAAACUGCCCAUACAGUGCAGCCAUUCCUUUUUUUACAGGGACUGCAAUUCUCUCUUGGAGGAAAGAAAAAAAAAAAAAAACUGCGACCAUGGAUAAUAUUAAGGCCACCCAAAUCACAAACAGAGUAAACUUUGUCUAUGCAUAAUUUUUGGAUGAAAUGCCAAUUAGACUUAACACAAUAACCAUCACUGAUAGGAGGUAACACCCAGUGUUACAGCCAUUGAAGAAUUCGAACUCCGAAUGAUGUUUAUGGGAGGAAAUGGCUUGUCCUGUGUAAUUGGAGGCCUCGGAAAAAAUCCCUCCUGGCGGAUGCGCAGACAAUUGAGCAGCUGUGCUGUGGUAGCCAGCAGAGUGGCCACAACCAAGAACACAUCUCAUAACCCUUUUUCCUACUCAUUUGGUUGAAUGCGAGGUGAACGGGGUCCCAUUCAACGUUGCCCCUAGCCAUUUUUCAGCGAACACAUUGAGUAAGCGCUUCAAGUUGAAAAGGGAAAGAGAUACUUAAAGAAAGGCGACCAAGUGGUCAAUUUAUAGGGGCAGUCGGCCGUCGUGGAUAAUCUCACAAAAUUCCUCAUUCUGUUUCUGUGACUCGUCGGAAAAUCCUCUCAUUUGUUGCUGAAUCCCGGAAAAUCUUCCCCUCUAUUGCGAGUCGUCUCUCAGUCUGUUGCGAGUCCUAGAAAAUCUUCACCGGGUUUUGCGAGUCGUCGCCCCAUCCGUUGCGAGUCGUCUCCCUGUCUGUUGCAAAUUCCAGAAAAUUUUCACCAUCAGUUUGAGUCCUCUCCCCCGUUGCGAGUCCCACAUAAUCCUCCCUUCGUUUGACUCGUCUAUUACGUGUCUCGGGAACUCUCUUUCCCUCUCCCUGUGCGCCCCCCAUGCAAAUUCGUUUGCUUAGCAUUUGGUUUCGGAGGAAUCGGGGCUGCUUAGGCCUCGUUAGGCCUCGGACGGCGUGUUGUUUUGUUUUUGCAGAGUUGAACUUCUCGUCGCGCAAGAUUUCGGUCGAAGAUGUUUCUCCUUUCUCCGUGGAGACUGUCCAUCGGCAUCACUUGUAAUGCUACAGAAUAGUCUCAUGAGUUUCUAAGAAUUUCUUAGCUUUUUUUUGGUUUCUAGGGACAAUUGCUUUUAAGUGCCAAAAUUAGUAUUCCCUACAGUUUUUACAAGUGUUAAUUCACUCACUCCAGAUAGAUUAGUAUAAUACAUAAGCCAUACUCUGCCGCUUGCACUUUCGUAAGGUCUUGCCUUGUAUUUUUCAGACUACUGCUAUGGCCUCCCUCUCGCUUCCAUAAUUGCGGCUUGUUCAAAUAAGUUUUUCGUUGGUCCAAGGGUGUGUUUUGUUUAAAAGGAAGUGUUUUUUCAAAAUUAAUUUUCUGAACUUUCAUCCAUUUGACUUGUCGAAAAUGAUUAGUCAACCAAAAAUAAUUUCUAAUUUGGGAAAAUAUUUGUAGAUAAAAAUUAGGAAAGUAGAUUAUUAAAUUUAAGACGGUGAAAACACUAUGGAAUUGCUCUUAAAUUAUUCAAUAUUUUAUUUAUUUUAUUUUAAAAAUUGAUAUUUUAAAUAUUUUCUUUUCUUUUCCUUUCCUUUCCUUUCCUCCUUCCUCCUCCAUCGAUCGCUUGGUCUAGAUGACUGACCACAAGCAUGAGCUAGCGAAGGCUGGCCUUGCCAACCUAUUACAAUAAUUUGUACCUAUAGUCUUGAACCUAUAAUGAUUAAAUUGAAAAACUAUAGUCUUGAACCUAUAAUAGGUUCACCACGUCUUUGGAAAAGUUAUCAUAUAGUCUUGAACCUAUAAUGCGCAUGGUUCGUUGUUUUUCGUGGUGAUAUUAUUUUUUGAUGAGUCAAAUUAAUAAAAGUUCGAAAAAUUAAUUUUGAAAAAACACUUUCUUUUAAACAAAACACACCCUUGGACUAGCGAAAAACUUAUUCGAACAAGCCACAAUUACGAAAGCGAGAGGGAGGCCAUAGACAGGGCAAGACCUUAUGAAAGCGCAAGCGGCAGCGUAUGGCUUAUGUAUUAUACUAAUCUAUGUGGAGAGAGAAAAUUAACACUUGUAAAAACUGUAGGGAAUACUAAUUUUGGCGCUUAAAGGCAAUUGUCCUCAGAAAGCAUAAAAAAGACAAGAAAUUCUUAGAAACUCGUGAGACGAUUUCGCAGCAUUACAAUACCUCAAAUAUAGCAGAAAUUGGCAUUUUGUGAUGCUGCCGGACAGUCUCCACAAAGAAAGGAGAAACGUCGAUCUUCGACCGAAAUCUUGCGCAACGAGAAGUUCAGCUUGGCAAAAACAGCACACCGUCCGAGGCCUAAACAGCCCCGAUUCCUCUGAAACUAAACCCUAAGCAAACGAAUUCGCAUGGGAGGAUAGCACAGGGAGAGGGGAAGAGAAUUCCCGAGACUCAUAAAGAUGAGUAAGAUGAAGGGAGGAUUAUACGGGACUCGCAACAGGUGACUUGCAACGGGGGAGAGGACUCGCAACCGACAGUGAAAACUUUCUAGGAUUCGCAACGGACAAGGAGACGACUCGCAACGGAUAGGGCGACGACUUGCAAGACCCGGUGAAGAUUUUCCGAGACUCGCAACAAACUAGGAGACGACUCACAACAGAGGGGAAGAUAUUCCAGGAUUCAAUAACAUAUGGGAGGAUUUUCCGACGAGUCAUAGAAAUAGAAUGAGGAAUUUUGCGAGAUUAUCCACGACGGCCGAUUGCCCUUAUAAAUUGACCACUUGGUCACCUUUCUUUAAGUAUCCCUUUCCCCUUUCAACUUGAAGCGCUUACUCAAUCUGUGUUUGCUGAAAAAUGGCUAGGGGCAAUGUUGAACGGGACCCCAUUUGCCUCGCAUUCAACCAAAUGAGCAGGAAAAAGGGUUACGAGAUGUGUUCUUGGUUGUGGCCACUCUGCUGGCUAUCACAGCUGCUCAAUUGUCUACGCAUCCGCCAGGAGGCACUUUUUCCGAUGCCUCCAAUCACAUAGGACAAGCCAUUUUCUCCCAUAAACAUUAUUCAGAGUUCGAAUUCUUCAAUGGCUGUAAUACCGGGUGUUACCUCCUAUCAAUGAUGGUUAUUGUGUUGAGUCUAAUUGGCAUCUCAUCCAAAAGUUCUGCAUGGACAAGGUUUACUCUGUUUAUGAUUUGGGUAGCCUUAAUAUCAUUCAUGGUCACAUUUUUUAUACCUAUUACUCAUGUAAAAGAGGGAGUUGCUGUAUGGGCAGUUUUGAUGUGAGUUAUGAUCAUCGAGAUAGUGUUGAAAGGACUUAUAUGGUUUGAAGGGUCCAUUUCGUUACUUCUAUGGUGGUCGUCAAUUUUAAGAAUUGUGAUGAUUAUGAUGCUAACCUGUGAGAGAAAUGUAGAUGAAUGGAUCACAUACGAUUCCUCGAACCACUUGCACAAGUAAUUAUCGCUAGCGGAACUAAUGAACUGCUUCCACAGUGAUUUGACACAUUCGUUACCAUUUGGUAUUUAGGACUGCUAUGAUGGAUGCCUAGUUUCUUCAACAGACUUGGAAAAAGAAAAAUGCUUUUAAUACUUAUGUUGCUUAAUUACUUCAAUGUGUAAUGAUGGCCUUCAGUACUGAACUCUACUUUAAAAUUGCUUAACCGAUUUGUUUUAGGCUAUCAAGUACCUUUCGGCUGCAGGUUUUGGUGCGAAGUUGCUUGCGGUUUUUGGGAAUGGCAUUGUUUAGUCAUUUAUAAAUGCUCGUACACUCACUCCAGAAGUUAUGGAUUAAUCAUUCAGCAUAAUAAAGAAUUUCACACGAUGUUGUGGAUUUCAGGGAAUUGUUCUAGAAAGUAAUGGAAUGUAAGAAAAUGAAUAUUGCUUCACGAUUUAAUACCUUAAGCACUUUAGAUAUGAGAUGUUCACAGUUCUACAGGUCUGAAAUGGUUUCAAAAAUCCCAUUGACCAUCUUUUGAUUGAAAGCAUUCAAAAGGGGAUAGUCAUCUUGUAUAUGGACCUAUCGGGUCAACCCUCUAGACUAACUUGAGAAAGUUUGUUGUUUCCUAUUCCAGUCUUUCAAAUUUGUUUGCUUGCCCUUUUUCCUUGGUUGUAGCCACUUUGAAAUCAAAUUUAUUUUGUAAUUGUUUGACUUUGGAUAUCCCAACUUUAUCUGAGUUUUUGUGCCAAAACUUUUAAAUGCAUAGCUAUAGGAUUGAUAACUCCAUUUUGUUAAAUUAAAUUUAUCAAAACAUCUUAUCCUGGCAAUAACAUAUGAACUCCCAUGAAGUCUGAUAACAUGUUACCUGUGUAUUUUAAUAAGUUCCACCUAUAGCUUGUUGCUUGACUUCAUUUUCAAUUUUUUUUUUUUUUGGGCCUAAUGCAACAGAUAUGAGAAAACCAAAGCUGGUGGCUGAAAUU